GCUGGGAGUGGUGGUGUGCACCUGUAAUCCCAGCUACUCAGGAGGCUGAGGCAGGAGAAUUGCUUGAAUCCGGGAGACGGAAGUUGCAGUGAGCCGAGAUUGCGCCACUGCACUCCAGCCUGGGUGACAGAGCGAGACCCUGCCUCAA
Molecule: unclassified non-coding RNA, 148 nt
Organism: Macaca mulatta (Rhesus monkey)
Lineage: Eukaryota; Metazoa; Chordata; Mammalia; Primates; Cercopithecidae
Rfam family: Metazoan signal recognition particle RNA
About the family: The signal recognition particle (SRP) is a universally conserved ribonucleoprotein.
Source: Ensembl